UAGCUCAGUUAGUAGAGCAUGGCGCUUGCAACGCCAGGGUUGUGGGUUCUAUUCCCAC
This 58-nucleotide transfer RNA is filed under the name Salmo salar (Atlantic salmon). It matches the Rfam family "tRNA", at positions 8 to 63 of the family's 71-position model. Rfam says of the family: Transfer RNA (tRNA) molecules are approximately 80 nucleotides in length. Their secondary structure includes four short double-helical elements and three loops (D, anti-codon, and T loops). Lineage: Eukaryota; Metazoa; Chordata; Actinopteri; Salmoniformes; Salmonidae. The record is from Rfam by way of RNAcentral.